This is an RNA transcript of Rhinopithecus roxellana (golden snub-nosed monkey), 512 nucleotides long. It is a transcript of the gene named 10 kDa heat shock protein, mitochondrial pseudogene, with no coding region annotated. Lineage: Eukaryota; Metazoa; Chordata; Mammalia; Primates; Cercopithecidae. The record is from RefSeq and is a predicted model, not a curated record. The transcript has a single exon.
CGCCAGGGCCGGACCACGAGUCUCUCCUUGCGGCGCUACACUAGAGCAGAGUACGAGUCUGAGGCGGAGGGACUCAUGGCAGGACAAGCGUUUAGAAAGUUUCUUCCACUCUUUGACUGAGUAUUGGUUGAAAGGAGUGCUGCUGAAACUGUAACCAAAGAAGGCAUUAUGCUUCCAGAAAAAUCUCAAGGAAAAGUAUUGCAAGCAACAGUAGUCGCUGUUGGAUCGGGUUCUAAAGGACAGGGUGGAGAGAUUCAACCAGUUAGCGUGAAAGUUGGAGAUAAAGUUCUUCUGCCAGAGUAUGGAGGCACCAAAGUAGUUCUAGAUGACAAGGAUUAUUUCCUAUUUAGAGAUGGUGACAUUCUUGGAAAGUACGUAGACUGAAAUAAGUCACUAUUGAAAUGGCAUCAACAUGAGGCUGCCCAUUCCACUGAAGUUCUGAAAUUUUUCAUCAUGUAAAUAAUUUCCAUAUUUCUCUUUUAUAAUAAACUAAUGAUAAAAAAAGAACAAAA